RNAcentral lists this ribosomal RNA (395 nucleotides) under uncultured bacterium. Its description in RNAcentral is "bacterial SSU rRNA". It matches the Rfam family "Bacterial small subunit ribosomal RNA", at positions 505 to 898 of the family's 1533-position model. The record is from RNAcentral.
GUGUCAGCAGCCGCGGUAAUACAGAGGGUGCGAGCGUUGUUCGGAAUUAUUGGGCGUAAAGCGCUUGUAGGCGGCCUGUUAAGUCCUGUGUGAAAGCCCUUGGCUCAACCAAGGAAGUGCGCAGGAAACUGGCGGGCUUGAGUGCCGGAGAGGGUCGCGGAAUUCCCGGUGUAGAGGUGAAAUUCGUAGAUAUCGGGAGGAACACCAGUGGCGAAGGCGGCGACCUGGACGGACACUGACGCUGAGACGCGAAAGCGUGGGGAGCAAACAGGAUUAGAUACCCUGGUAGUCCACGCUGUAAACGAUGGGUGCUAGGUGUGGCGGGUUUUGACCCCUGCCGUGCCGCAGCUAACGCAAUAAGCACCCCGCCUGGGAAGUACGGCCGCAAGGCUAAA